CCUACGGGAGGCAGCAGUGAGGGAUAUUGCGCAAUGGGCGAAAGCCUGACGCAGCGACGCCGCGUGGGCGAGGAAGGCCUUCGGGUUGUAAAGCCCUUUUGGCAGGGAAGAGCAAGGACUGUACCUGCAGAACAAGUCACGGCUAACUACGUGCCAGCAGCCGCGGUAAAACGUAGGUGGCGAGCGUUAUCCGGAUUCACUGGGCGUAAAGCGCUUGCAGGCGGUCUGAUAAGUUGGACGUGAAAGCCCUGAGCUUAACUUGGGGAGGCCGUUCAAUACUGUCAGGCUAGAGGGAGGCAGAGGAGAGUGGAAUUCCCGGUGUAGCGGUAAAAUGCAUAGAUAUCGGGAGGAACACCAGUGGCGAAGGCGACUCUCUGGGCCUACCCUGACGCUCAGAAGCGAAAGCCAGGGGAGCAAACAGGAUUAGAUCCCCCUGUAGU
Molecule: ribosomal RNA, 440 nt
Filed under: uncultured bacterium
Lineage: Bacteria
Description: partial 16S ribosomal RNA
Rfam family: Bacterial small subunit ribosomal RNA
Source: RNAcentral